RNAcentral lists this ribosomal RNA (253 nucleotides) under uncultured bacterium. RNAcentral describes it as "partial 16S ribosomal RNA". It matches the Rfam family "Bacterial small subunit ribosomal RNA", at positions 524 to 776 of the family's 1533-position model. The record is from RNAcentral.
GACGUAGGGCGCGAGCGUUGUCCGGAUUUAUUGGGCGUAAAGAGCUCGUAGGCGGCUUGUUGCGUCAGCUGUGAAAACCCGCAGCUCAACUGUGGGCUUGCAGCUGAUACGGGCAGGCUUGAGUUCGGUAGGGGAGACUGGAAUUCCUGGUGUAGCGGUGAAAUGCGCAGAUAUCUGGAGGAAUACCGGUGGCGAAGGCGGCAUCCUGGACCGACAUUGACGCUGAACGGCGAAAGCUAGGGGAGCAAACGGG